CUGUUCAAAAAGCUGUCAUUUUAGGCAUGCAAAUAGGCCAUAUUUGGGGGUAGCCUCUGUUUGACCUAAGAGAAUACAAAGUAAUAGAAACUGAGCAGUGGAGACUCUGACCAUUGAUCUGUAUUUUGUAGCAUAUCCCUAGACCUGAACCAAAAUAGAACACUGAGAAAUCAUUCCUAUGCAAUAAGUAGUUUUAUUUUAAAAGGAAAAUAACCGUGAUGUAUCAUGCUGCUUAACCUCUGUGUUUGAAGAUUUCUUAAUUCUUUCAAUAUUUAGAACCAUGUUGAAUAGACUAUUAAUAUGCUGUCAUAUAUUUUUCAAAGUAUGUCUGGAAAUUAAGUCUUUUGGUUAACUGUAAAAUUUUUUUAUUUAAAAUAGGAAUAGAUUAUAUUUGUAGGUAUUUAUCAAAUAUAAUUAUUUUGUGCUACAUAUGGGAUUUUGUAAUGAGUUCCAUUGUUAAGAUAUAUAAUUAACUUCUAACAAAUUAAUCAACUUAAAUUUUUAUGUUAAAGAUUAUAUUUAAUAAUAUUCACUUAAUGCCUAAAGUAAAAUCUUACUUUCACCAUAAUCAAAAUAUUGAAUUUUUUUGUGCACAAGGGCUGCAGGAAUGUAGGCCAUAUAUUGUUUUAUGCAUCAGUCAUGCUUUUUAUUGGUUAUAUAUUUUAUGUAAUAUAAAGACUGCCUUUUCCUUUAUAUUGCAUUUUUCCAUGAAAAUAAAGAAUUGCCUGCAGAAUGCAAAACUGCAAGCAUCCUGUCAAACGGUAGAUUUCUAUGCAUAUAUUCAUUUAAAAAGAGGCUGUGUGGCCUAGUGGAAAGACAGGGAUGAAGUUGGGUUCAAACCUGACCUCUGACACUUACUGGCUGUGGAAUCCUGGGCAGCCAGGCCACCUAAAUCUCAGGCUGUGAGUUCUACAACAGUUUGUAGCUGGGCAGUGGGAAAGGCAGUGCCUCCUACUGAUGAAAUCACAGUCUGGAUGCUCUCUCCAUUCCCUCCCUUCCCCCUUCUCUCCUCUCCCAAUCAAACUGAAAAAACAUGUUUUUGUUUUUUGUUAGGGCAAUGAAAAUAUUGUUUUUCUUAUGGCAUUUUAACUGAAGUGCCAUAAAUGCAAUCCAUACGUGGUUCAGAAUAAACAUUGAGUUAAUUCUAUCUGUAUCCAGUCUAAAAUCUCUGCUUUUGAAAUGUGAAUUUUUAAAACUUGUAAAUGUCUUGAGUUUGCAGUAAUGUUCAUCUACAUACAAUAUGUUACAAAACUCAAUUCAACGUUCGUAUUUAUGACAUACCAACAUAAAUUUUAAAGCCAUUUUCAUUUGUUAACAAAUUCAAAAAGAAACCUGAUAUAUGCUUAAUGGUUAUAAACAUAACAACAAUUUUUCAUGGAGAUAUUUGUCUGCAUGCUGGAAUAGUAAUAUUCAUAGGGCAAGUAACUAAGUAUCGAAAUUUUUCUCAAAAAAUAAUAGUACUUUUAAAUAUAUAUUAAUAAGAAAAUGAAAAUACACAUCUUAAAUAUGACAGUGUGACAAUAAAAACCAAUACUCAAGUUAAUCGAGCCAAGUUAAUAUAAACAAAUUUUAUUUGUUGAGCAGCUGUUAUAAAGAAUCAGACCAGUUUGUUUAACAGUACUGAACAAAAAGGCUGACACUUAUUUUUUCAUUUUCCAGCUCUGUACAUUGUUUAGACAAAGCCAAAAUUAAUACCUAAUCUGUAAAUCACCCAAAGGAAAUUUUCAUAGCUGUGCUAAAUGACACUGCAGAAGCAGACAAGCUAUAUUGUUUUAUAAAAUGUUUUUUUCAAAGAUGUUAUCUUCAAAGCAGUCUAUUCCUGACUUUGUAAUAUUCUCUUUAAAUACAAUGUGUUACUCCUGCAGACAACCAGUAGUACUGUGUCAUAACAUGAUACUGCAAGAAUGAACUGGACUGCAAUAAUUCUUACUUUUAAAAGCCAAUACUUUGAUGCGGUAACGUGUGAUUUGCAAAAGAAUUGAUUUUUUAGUUAAUUAUAUGCUGUUUCCAUUCCUCAUAUAGUCUGACAUUGAGCUGUUUGUCUGUUGUGGAUGUAUUACUUAUUUCUUCUGUAUGUAACUAAUAUUUCAUGACAUUCUCUGGUUCCUCUUGUCAUCUCUUUAAAUAGAGAUAUCAAAGGAAAAGUAGUGCUUUUACAUUAUUUCCAUAGAUAUGCCUUACAUGAAACUGAAUAAAAAGUAACAAAC
Long non-coding RNA from Sarcophilus harrisii (Tasmanian devil), 2207 nucleotides. The record is from Ensembl. Lineage: Eukaryota; Metazoa; Chordata; Mammalia; Dasyuromorphia; Dasyuridae.